UACGAAGGGGACUAGCGUUGUUCGGAAUUACUGGGCGUAAAGCGCACGUAGGCGGAUUUGUAAGUCAGGGGUGAAAUCCCGGGGCUCAGCCUCGGAACUGCCUUUGAUACUGCAAAUCUCGAGUCCGAUAGAGGUGGGUGGAAUUCCUAGUGUAGAGGUGAAAUUCGUAGAUAUUAGGAAGAACACCGGUGGCGAAGGCGGCCCACUGGAUCGGUACUGACGCUGAGGUGCGAAAGCGUGGGGAGCAAACAGG
RNAcentral lists this ribosomal RNA (253 nucleotides) under uncultured bacterium. Its description in RNAcentral is "partial 16S ribosomal RNA". It matches the Rfam family "Bacterial small subunit ribosomal RNA", at positions 524 to 776 of the family's 1533-position model. The record is from RNAcentral.